Long non-coding RNA from Thalassophryne amazonica, 1484 nucleotides. RefSeq lists it as uncharacterized. The record is from RefSeq and is a predicted model, not a curated record. The transcript is spliced from 2 exons. NCBI's taxonomy places the organism in Eukaryota, Metazoa, Chordata, Actinopteri, Batrachoidiformes, Batrachoididae.
AAGUAAGACCUCUUAAAUCAUUCUGAAGUCAGUUUUAAGCAGAAAUGAAAUGAUGCAUGCGCAAUAAAGGCAGGUUGAACAGAUUUUUUGUGGGGGACCGUUUGGCUGGCGGCACUGAGCCCCCAGGUUGAGACAGUGAAGCCCCUCCCCCUUAAAAAGGACAUAAAAUAUGUCAGACUGAUCCAGAUCGAUCAGUGGUUCACGUUUAAAGAUGACCUUUGACCUGCUCUGAAUACAAACACAAAGAACAUCUGUGAACGUGCACAUACGUACACAGUCUGUUUGAAGGCAUUCCUAAUAUUGUGUCCAGCUGACAUGUUGAACUGGCUCAACCUUCUGUGGUGUCUUCAGUAAAAAUGCCAACAGUCUGAGGAGGAAACGCCCUUGUCAAAUUUCCUGCUCUUCCAGCAACAGUUAAGCAGCGUGUCGCUGGCAGGAAGCCACCAACAAACCCACCGUUGCCACCACCAUGCAUCCUCUGCUGGUUUUCAUUCUGUGGACUCUGGUGUCAGGAGGUGAGCUUCACGUGUUAAAUUACAAACAUUCAGAUUUGACACUUUGUUCAAACCUGCAGCUGCUUCAGAGGCGUCGUGGCGGCUUCCCUCCUCUUUUGAUAUUCAACACUUUCAUCUCAAUCAGGCUGCAGAAAUGUUCUGAUUAAACACUUUCUAUUUUUCUUACAAAGAUCUCAGAAUUAUUUUUUCAAAUAAUAAAACAGAAGGACAAAGUUACAUUUAUUAAUCAGAUCAAACUGAUAAUAACACAAAUAUGAUCAGUGGUUUUAACACUUAAAUAUCACAUUUAAAAAAAAUUAUUUGUAAAUUGUUCAAACUUCUUGUCUAUGUGAAGAUGUUUGAAACAAACAUUUUGUAUUUUUGUACAAAGAAAUAUUUCCCUUUGUUUCUACAAAUAAAGGUCAAAGUUCAAAGUGGCUCUUUACUCAACAGGCCAUGUGACAUUAAUGUGGUCUUGAUGUGUUUUGUUUGUAUCUUCUGUGUCUGCCGUGUUUUUAGACACGGAGGUCGUUGUCGUGGCGCCCGGCGAGGAUGUCACUCUCAUUUGUCAGGCACCUGCUAACAUCACGCUGCUGACAUGGAGCCGCCGUGACCUCAAACCCUUUUAUGUCUUCUUCUACCAGGACCAGCACGAGUACAAAAACUUCCAGCAUCAGUCUUUCAGGGGCCGCGUGAAGCUGAAAGCACCACACAUGAGGGGCGGAGACUCCACCGCCAUCCUGAAGAGCACCAUCUUCAGUGACAAUGGAACGUACGAGUGCUCCGUUUCAGACAAUGGUGAGGACCCCACUGUGAGGAAAACGUCUCGCUGAGGAUCACUGAAGCAGAUGGUGCCACAGACAAACAAGUGAUGCAAAUUGUUGGAGGGGUUUUGUCUUCACUUGGCGUAGUCAUGUCGUGUUUGCAGCGUGAUAUGUAAGACCCGUAGAAGGACAAUUCGCAGCUGUGUCAUCACACGCCACGUUUAAC